Molecule: long non-coding RNA, 1745 nt
Organism: Cercocebus atys (sooty mangabey)
Lineage: Eukaryota; Metazoa; Chordata; Mammalia; Primates; Cercopithecidae
Exons: 5
Source: RefSeq, a predicted model, not a curated record
CCGACCUCAGGUGAUCCACCCACCUCGGCCUCCCAAAGUGCUGGGAUUACAGCCAUGAGCCACUGCCCCUGGCCAGAAGCCAAUUUCAAUGGGCGUAUCCUUUAUCACUCCUGACCUGUGAUAAUAGCCAUUAGAGCUUUUCAAGAAUAGUACACCCUGCCAAUGAUUUUUUUUUUAAGCCUUAAUGAAGAGAGUGUCCUCUGGGUCCUUCCAGAGAAGAUAGGAUGUGAGUGAGUAAGUUAUGUGUAAUUUCACCCCUUGAUACCAUUCCUUGAUACCAUUCCCUGUAUACCAAGGAAGGAUAUUCUGGCAUUUCACUUUGAUUUAGUAUAAGUAAAUCCUGUGUCUAGGCAUUAGUUAACAAACCAAGUGACUACAAGUGAUAAGUAACUAUUACCAUAGACUGUCAAUUACCUUGGCAAUGGAAACAUUAUUGCCUUUUGAUCAGUCAGAUCAGAGAACAAAUUCCAGAUUUCCAUCCCUAAGAUUCUGUGUCUCCGCUACCACUUCUGGUAGCAAAACUUGUCAAUAUGAGGUAGACUUAAUGCAAUGUAGCCAUGAGAAAUAAUGCUCCUACAAACAUUGCAGGAAUAAGGAAUUUGAUCAAGGAAUUAGCAUUUACACAAAAUACGGGAAGAGUUAGGGAAGUGAAAGAAUGAAAGAAGGAGAAUAAAAAAAAAUUCACUAACCACAUCACUCUAAAGCCAUUAUUGCUAACAAGGUUAUUGUAGUGCCAGUUAAGUCCAGGUCACCCAAGACAUACACACCCCUUGGCCCCACUUGGAAAACUGUGUGAUGCGACUAUUGGAUUAGGGGGUUCUCAAAGCCAAAAUGGAUUUAUCAGCAAUGACCUUACUGCCUGGUACCCAGCUUCGAGAGGACCAAAAACGAUGUUUGUGUCUUGCAUUCCCAGGUCCCUCUUUCUUCUUUUACCCAUAUCUAUGUUGUUUAAAGUAGAAAUAUCCUUAGGUUUAAGCCAUAUUCUCUCUAUUCUUGAAGGACCACAGACUCUAUACCCCUGCUGAAAUUUUCUGGAAGCCUAUGGGAAAGGAGGAACGAAAAGCUUCAUGGUUUCUUAAUACGGGUGCCUAAAUUACUAUCAUAACUCGUCCAGUAAGGAGAAGGGGCACCUGAAUUCAACUUGGCGGCUGGGCAAGGUAACCAGUGAGGGUCUUGCUCUGCCACACAGGCUGGAGUGCAAUGGCGCAAUCAUAGCUCACUGCAACCUUAACCUUCCGCAUUUGAGACAUUGUAAGUUCAGAGGCGUGAGAGUUAGCAUCCAGAGACUGCAGACAUCAGCAGCACAGCUGUCUCUCCAACAGGAUCAUUGCCAGCAGAACAUCCUACACCAAUGGCUCUUUGGGCAGGACCUUGGCUGUGCUUUGUCUGUCUAGCUUCCUGCCCAAGUUUGGUGUCUCUCCCCAGAUCACUCUCCAGUAAACCUUUUGCAUGAAACUGCUUAUCUCAGAAACUGUUUUUAAGACAAAGAUUGAAGUCCAAAAUAAAUUAUCAAAGAACUUGUGUGGAUUAGCUUGCUAUAUACAUCCAAGAUUUGAAGAACUGAAAAAAAAAUCAGUAUUAAACCUGCUUUUUAAAAAGGUAAGUGAAGUAACUUCUGGUCAUGGUUCAUUUCAGACCUCUCUAAAGCCUGCAAUUUCCCCUAGAGUAUGUGAUUUUUUUUCCAGAAGUAGAAUUACUUGACUCUAGUGAGUCUACUAAUUAAGUCUAGGAGUGUUUAUAUCCAC